AGCUCAAAUUCAGGCCAAUCAGAUUCGCGCCCCGAAGAUUUUGAUUCUCAGCUGAACUCUUCGCUCUGGGCGCUUGUGUACCACGCAUGUCAGUUAAAUUAGACUUAUAUUGCAGUCUUCUUUAUGUUAUUCUGAAGAUAAAGCCGAGUUUGGACCGUCUUGCUUUGGGCACGCGCGUUUCAGAACCGACGCAGAUCACAGAGAAACAAGCGAGCGGAGAGUGGACCUCCAGAACCAGACAGACAUGCCUUUCACCAGGGGGAAGAAGCCGGCUGCCAGCGGGGGCAAAGCGCUCCGGCAGCAGAGCGCUCCGUCCACGGAGAACCAGGAGGACGGGUCCCAGGUGAAGAGGUCAUCCUCCCCUCCUCGGGGAGCUCCAAAGAAGAGGACCGCUUUCAUUGAUAUCACUAAUGUAAGCGUAUUUUAUUUAUUGUUUUUUUAUUCAUAAGUAAUUAAGUUGUGGGCAGAACUGUUUAGUGCAGAGUAAGACCGCACUUCCCAUCAUCCAUCUGUUUACACUCAUUCCCAUUAGUUUACACCUCCAACCUAACAUCACUGGUGCAACGAAAAUAGCCAACGAUAUUGGAACAACAAUCCAAAAAAAAAAAAAAAAAGCAAUUAAUCACAAAUGCAAUUUACAUUUUUAUUUUUGUUCCAUAUGUCCUCCAUUAUCAGGAAAGAGAAAUACCACAAGAACAAGUUAAAAACACAUUAUUUGAUCAGAGAGGUGGGUCUUCCACUGACUGAUCACUUUUGUGUAGCAGACUUUAUGCCUAAUUUUUGCAGAAACUGUUUAUUUUCUGCACUGGUGAGAGUUGAUGAAUUCCAUACAAAUCCAAAAACACAUGAGUCUGAUCAGUGGGUCUAAAAUUUGAAUUAUUUUUUCCUCUUAAUUCUUAGUUUGGAAGCUUCAAUACUUUUUUCGGAUUUUCUAGUUUUUAUUUUUGCUGUUUCUGCUCCAUCUGUCAGACAUGCAUCUGAGGCAGCUUUGGAAUAUGUUGUCAUGAAAGCUUGGUGGACAUAAAAAUAAAAAAAAAAUAUUAGUAUGCAUCAAAAUGUUGACAACUGGUUAUUCAAUAGUUUCUCAUUUGGGGCCUUCAGUGUGACACACAAGUUCAAGAUUAGCUCAGGUAAACCAAGCAAAGCUAGAAAAGAAAAUGUGCAUCUUGAAGCUAAAUGGUCUAAAGUAUUACCCAAAAUAAAUAUGUGUUUGUGCGAAAAUUUAUACAUUUACUGUGAAGAAAAACAUAUUUGUAACAAAUAGAGCUGUCAGGCGAUUAAAAUUUUUAAUCGAGAUUAAUCGCAUUUUGUCCAGAGUAAAAAAAAAAUAAGCAACACACUAAAAAGUUUUGCAAAAAAUGUAAAAAUGAAUAGGGAAACACCAGGCAAUUGACUCAUGGCCUCAAAAUCCUCUCCCGACUUAAAUGACAUUCCCUCCGGAUUAAUCCAGCCUCCUCGUCUACAUGAUCCUCUAUGAACAGACAUGCUGUUUUGGUUUUAGCGUGACGGAAACAUCCAGUCUCUAAUAUGAAUGUU
This is a long non-coding RNA of Oryzias melastigma (Indian medaka), 1536 nucleotides long. RefSeq lists it as uncharacterized. The transcript is spliced from 3 exons. Lineage: Eukaryota; Metazoa; Chordata; Actinopteri; Beloniformes; Adrianichthyidae. The record is from RefSeq and is a predicted model, not a curated record.